UGUAGUCUCGCACAGAUGCAUAUCAAUAAGCGGAGGAAAAGAAACUAACAAGGAUUCCCCUAGUAACGGCGAGUGAAGCGGGAAGAGCUCAAAUUUGAAAUCUUAAAGGGUUUCCCUUUACGAAUUGUAGUUUAAAGAAGUGUUUUCUGUUGAGGUUUUGGUAAAAGUUCUUUGGAAUAGGACAUCAUAGAGGGUGAGAAUCCCGUAUUUGACCUUUACUUUCAACUUUGUGAUACACUUUCAAAGAGUCGGAUUGUUUGGGAAUGCAGUCCAAAAUGGGUGGUAAAUUUCAUCUAAAGCUAAAUAUUGGCGAGAGACCGAUAGCGAACAAGUACCGUGAGGGAAAGAUGAAAAGAACUUUGAAAAGAGAGUUAAACAGUACGUGAAAUUGUCAAAAGGGAAGCGUUUGACACCAGUGUUGUUUUUCUGAAAAUCAAUUAAAGAACUGUUUAUGCUAAGUUGUUUAGACUUUAUCAGCUAACUGUUUAGUUUUGAGCUUUUCUUUAAUGCACUUUUCAGUUAACAAGUCAACAUCAAUUUCUUUUGCUGUAAAAAAGCUUGAGGAAGGUGGCUUGAGAUUCGUCUUAAGUGUUUAUAGCCUCUUGCCUAUGCAGUCGGAGAGAUUGAGGUCUGCAGCGUAGAUCCUUCGGGGCUAAAUGCAUUUGUGCUAAGUUAUAGCAUUUCAUAGACAACUUGUUGACUAUGAUUUGUCUUGUAGCUUACUCGCUUAUGUUAUUUUACCUACGCUUAGGAUGUUGACAGCAGUAUAGACUGU
This 775-nucleotide ribosomal RNA is filed under the name uncultured Neocallimastigales. Its description in RNAcentral is "partial large subunit ribosomal RNA". It matches the Rfam family "Eukaryotic large subunit ribosomal RNA", at positions 24 to 637 of the family's 3401-position model. The record is from RNAcentral. Lineage: Eukaryota; Fungi; Neocallimastigomycota; Neocallimastigomycetes; Neocallimastigales.